This 490-nucleotide ribosomal RNA is filed under the name uncultured bacterium. RNAcentral's name for it is "partial 16S ribosomal RNA". It matches the Rfam family "Bacterial small subunit ribosomal RNA", at positions 29 to 507 of the family's 1533-position model. The record is from RNAcentral.
AGUGAACGCUGGCGGUAGGCCUAACACAUGCAAGUCGAACGGCAGCACAGGAGAGCUUGCUCUCUGGGUGGCGAGUGGCGGACGGGUGAGGAAUACAUCGGAAUCUGCCCAGUCGUGGGGGAUAACGUAGGGAAACUUACGCUAAUACCGCAUACGACCUUCGGGUGAAAGAGGGGGAUCGCAAGACCUCUCGCGAUUGGAUGAGCCGAUGUCGGAUUAGCUAGUUGGCGGGGUAAUGGCCCACCAAGGCGACGAUCCGUAGCUGGUCUGAGAGGAUGAUCAGCCACACUGGAACUGAGACACGGUCCAGACUCCUACGGGAGGCAGCAGUGGGGAAUAUUGGACAAUGGGCGCAAGCCUGAUCCAGCCAUACCGCGUGGGUGAAGAAGGCCUUCGGGUUGUAAAGCCCUUUUGUUGGGAAAGAAAUCUUUCAGGCUAAUACCCUGGGAGGAUGACGGUACCCAAAGAAUAAGCACAGGCUAACUUCGUG